GAUGAACGCUGGCGGCGUGCCUAAUACAUGCAAGUCGAGCGAACAGAUGAGAAGCUUGCUUCUCUGAUGUUAGCGGCGGACGGGUGAGUAACACAUGGGUAACCUACCUAUAAGACUAGGAUAACUCCGGGAAACCGGGGCUAAUACCGGAUAAUAUUUUGAACCGCAUGGUUCAAUAGUGAAAGACGGUUUCGGCUGUCACUUAUAGAUGGACCCGCGCCGGAUUAGCUAGUUGGUAAGGUAACGGCUUACCAAGGCGACGAUACGUAGCCGACCUGAGAGGGUGAUCGGCCACACUGGAACUGAGACACGGUCCAGACUCCUACGGGAGGCAGCAGUAGGGAAUCUUCCGCAAUGGGCGAAAGCCUGACGGAGCAACGCCGCGUGAGUGAUGAAGUUCUUCGGAUCGUAAAACUCUGUUGUUAGGGAAGAACAAAUUUGUUAGUAACUGAACAAGUCUUGACGGUACCUAACCAGAAAGCCACGGCUAACUACGUGCCAGCAGCCGCUGUAA
Molecule: ribosomal RNA, 514 nt
Filed under: uncultured bacterium
Lineage: Bacteria
Description: partial 16S ribosomal RNA
Rfam family: Bacterial small subunit ribosomal RNA
Source: RNAcentral